AUGCAGAUCCACAAGCUAGGAUUGUGCUUCUUCAUGCAUAAUUCUUUCGGCAGAAAUCUGAAUAUGAAAGGAUCACUAGAAAGAUUUGUCAACAAGGCCAAAUUUGAAGUAGUAGGUACUUCAUUUUUGGCAGAGGUGGUAUGCUCUGAAAGUGGUUUAACUCAACAUCGAAUAUCUUCAAUGUCGCGGAGAGGGUCUGUGGUAUGCUCUGAUCUUAAGGCGCUGCAUCGGCCUCAAGCCACCAAUGGAUGUAGGCACCUUGAAUUUGACGCUGGUCAACAAAUCCGUUUUUUUGUGGGUGUGGUACUUGAUCUGCGAAAUAGCAGAGUUACACAAAGUAUGUUUUUUUUGGGAGGUGAUUCGGAGUUUUAUCGAAUCACCUUCUGGGUACUUUUUGAAACUUGUUUACCGUAG
This 414-nucleotide ribosomal RNA is filed under the name Triticum aestivum (bread wheat). Its description in RNAcentral is "partial small subunit ribosomal RNA". The record is from RNAcentral. Lineage: Eukaryota; Viridiplantae; Streptophyta; Magnoliopsida; Poales; Poaceae.